AGGACUCUGCAAGCCUUCCAAGCCCUUCGCCUCUGGACUCAGGCGUGCCUGCACUGAACACAGUUGCACAGCAGACUGGUCUGCCUGGUGUCUGCCUCAGAGCUCACCCAAAAGAAACUUGGCAAUGGAGCGCUCUGGAGCCGAAUCCGCAAGCUCCGAGGUGGAAGACAUUACAAAAGGCCUCUCCGAGUUGUCUAGUCACGCAAAAACAAACAGUGUUUGGGGCCUAGAAGAGCUGUAUGCACGACAUACAAGACCCCCAUGGACAUCAAUAGUGACCAAGGGAUCCACUUUGUCGGCCAUGAAGUUCAGGAAUGGGCCUAUAAGAAUGACACACACCGGCAACUCCCCCCGCCUCACAACCCCACUGCUGCUGGGCUGUGAAUGAGCUGCUUCAACAACUGAGACGGGAAACCCGCUCCUUCAACGUGUGGACACAUCCCAGGAGCGAUCGUCCCAGUGCUGACGCCAUGUUAACCCAGAGGCAACUAGUCAACGCCAUUCGGGUUCAACUGUUGACCACUGAAGGACCGCUGCCAACUGCUGGCCAGGACAAUAACUCACUUCUGCCCUCGCCACAGGCUCUACCCCCAGGGGAACACAUUCUAACAUGGCCCUGGGACUGGCAGACCACCCACCACCACCACCACCACCACUGUAGGAAAGACUGCUGUUGUGUCCUGCUCACUGGCUGCCUCACGUGGU
Molecule: long non-coding RNA, 705 nt
Organism: Balaenoptera musculus (blue whale)
Lineage: Eukaryota; Metazoa; Chordata; Mammalia; Artiodactyla; Balaenopteridae
Exons: 5
Source: RefSeq, a predicted model, not a curated record